AUUGAACGCUGGCGGAAUGCUUUACACAUGCAAGUCGAACGGUAACAGGCCGCAAGGUGCUGACGAGUGGCGAACGGGUGAGUAAUGCAUCGGAACGUGCCCAGUCGUGGGGGAUAACGCAGCGAAAGCUGUGCUAAUACCGCAUACGAUCUAUGGAUGAAAGCGGGGGACCGUAAGGCCUCGCGCGAUUGGAGCGGCCGAUGUCAGAUUAGGUAGUUGGUGGGGUAAAGGCCCACCAAGCCAACGAUCUGUAGCUGGUCUGAGAGGACGACCAGCCACACUGGGACUGAGACACGGCCCAGACUCCUACGGGAGGCAGCAGUGGGGAAUUUUGGACAAUGGGCGGAAGCCUGAUCCAGCCAUGCCGCGUGAGUGAAGAAGGCC
RNAcentral lists this ribosomal RNA (384 nucleotides) under uncultured bacterium. Its description in RNAcentral is "bacterial SSU rRNA". It matches the Rfam family "Bacterial small subunit ribosomal RNA", at positions 29 to 416 of the family's 1533-position model. The record is from RNAcentral.